This is a long non-coding RNA of Lycium barbarum (goji berry), 2751 nucleotides long. RefSeq lists it as uncharacterized. The record is from RefSeq and is a predicted model, not a curated record. The transcript is spliced from 4 exons. Lineage: Eukaryota; Viridiplantae; Streptophyta; Magnoliopsida; Solanales; Solanaceae.
UUAAUACAACUACAACAACAUUGUAACAACUUUUAUACAAUAUUCAAGGCUUAAAGUUGUCACUCACAAUUUUGCGUAUGAAAACUAUAUUAAAAAUUUCGCUCACACAUGCCCGUACAUUUUUCAUACCGCUUUCAUACACAAAAAUUUGAGGUAAUUUUUUAAGCCUUUGAGCAAAUUUUUUUUUUUAAAUUUUUUUAAAACAAAAAAUAUAUGAAAAUACGUCAUAUUUCGAAAUAUCGUUAUAUUUUAUAAAUAAAAAAAAUUAUCUAUAUAUUUUGUAAUAACGAGUGUUAAGUAGUUACCUAUGUCAUAUUCCCAAAAAUAAUAACACGCCUUAGUUAUUUAGAUAGAUGUAACCGCUGUUUUUGAUUUCCUAUAAUAAAGGCACCCACAAACCAAUAUAUCCCUUUGAUUCCUCCAUUCUCUCACUCAAUGUACUCUCCCUCUCAGAAAAAAAAUUCUGAGUUUUCAUUUCGAUUCAUUUAACUAAUUUUGUUCUGCUUUGUAAGAAUUUUCUCUAAUCACUUAUUCUGUAAUUUGUAGCUUGGUGGAAGGAAAAAUUGAUGUGCUCUGAAUAUUUCAGAUCCUGUAAUUUUAAAUUUUGGCUGGUAUGCUUUUUGAUUAUCUAAAUACUACAACUGCCAGCACAAAAGAAACUCUACCUUCCUCAAUCGCAAUUGAACGCUUCGAAAUUGAAGUUCAUUGUUUUUCGGGGUUAGAUGUUAUUUCGAAUUCCUCUAUACAGGUCUUACCAAUCGCUCUCUACGAUCAAGUCUCUGUUCUCCCUUUCAACAAUUUUUUGUAGCAGAGAAGUGUAAUAAGAGUGCAAAAUGAGGACAUACAGAGAGUCACCCUGAAACUCAGCGGUUCAUUUAUACUUGAGGGGCGGAGCCAGAACAUUUGAUAAGGGGGUUCAAGAAUUUGUAUCUGGUGGAGAAGAUAAUACGGUAAAGGACAAAAUUCUCCAACGUACAUAUCAUUCAUGUAUAAAUUUUGUUUUCCUACAGCCCUCAAACCUUCUUAUGCACAAAAUUUAUAAUUAAAGAUAUACUUCUUAUUUACUUAGUAGGUUUCUUUGAUAGUAGGAUUUGCUGACGAAGCUUCGAUCAAUUUUUUCUAAUUGUGCAGAUGCAAUAUGUAUUCUCCUUUCAGUAUUCCAAUUUCCUCUUUAACUGAUACAUUCUAUUUUGUGAUUUUCUUGCAUUUGUUUAUAACAUGUUUGACUUUUCUUGCUAUACACAUGCUGGGAUAAGCAAGUACUUCUUUAAACUUUGCCUUAUAUUUUUAUGGAAUCGACCAAGUGUUCAAUCACGAUACCUCAUUAAGAAAAAUCAUUUGAGGAAAUUUAUUUACUCUAUUAAGAACUUUGGUUGAUGCUCAGCUUGAUAAUGAGCCUGAGUUCCAUAUCAUAGGUUCAUGUAUUUUUCAGUUUUGCUGUUGCAUAAAUCUCUUGAAAAUGGACGUGAAAGAGAACUUUCGUUAAGGAAAACUUAAAAAUAACCUUAAUGAGCAGUUCUUGAAUGGUGACUUUACUGUUUAUUAUUGGUUGUUUCUAACUUAGUUACAAAGUAAUCAGUAUCGCCUAUUUGCAUACACGUUCUGAAAAUCAGUUCUGUUCCUUGUUACUUUGCUCCUAUCCUUGGUUAUUCGUUUUUUCAGGUGAAAAAAUAAACCUUAUAGAACAAAUUUUGUUGAUGGUGAAAAGUCAUUAGAUACUAAUGCUGCUUUGGUAGAUGUAUGUUUGUAUGCUCCGCUACUACUUACACUGGUCACUUGUGAGGAUUAGGGAAAUAUUUUAAGGUACAUCCCAAUAUUAGAGAAUUUUUUGGUUUUACUGAAGAUCAUAGGUGUUUCAUAGACUUUGUUGAUGAUAAUAGAUAAGUAGCUCAAGCAUAUUUUUUAUACCAAGGCAGCACUAAUUUCUUGGCUAAAGACAACCUUCAUGUAUUUUAUGUGUCAACACUAAUUAAAAAAUUUGAUCUAAUAAUGCGCAUUGUUAAAAUUAUUAAUAUUUUUUCCUCAUUGGUUUUAUGUACCUCACAUUUUUUCAAAGUGAGAAUAUUCUUCUCAAAGUUACUACGAAUCUCGAUUCCAAACAUGUUCAGGAUGAUAGAUGUUUUACUUCCAUAAUUUAGUUGAGUCAGCUGGGAUAGGAGGCAUUUGCGGGGGAUAUGAAUGGAGUAAUGAUAAUGGCUUCCCAUUUCCCUGUCGCUAAUAUCAGCAACUACUUGGCAGAGGCAAAGGCUACAUCUUUUGGACUGAAUUGAUGCAGGAACAAUGGCUUGAGGCAUAACAUUCUAGAAUGCGAUUCUCUUUCGGUUGUAAAUAUGUUACCGGGAAAGAGCAAUACUCCACGGGAGAUGAAAGACGCAACAUAGGAGGCAAAGAUUCAUAUUGAACAUGGUGAUUGCAAGAUUAAACAUUGUUACAGAGAAGCUAAUCAGGUUACAAAUGCGUUGGCUAAAUGGAGUAUAGGAACAUGGCGUUGGCGUUUAGACAUAUUCACAGAAGAAACCUGUUUUCGUAAUGUUGGAAGCAUAUCUUUUCCCCUGUUUUAUAUCAGAUUUUUUGCCCUAGAAGAUAUGUUUUCUACUUUCCUUCCGUACAGGAACUAGCUAAGGAGUUAAGGAUAUUUAGUCCUACUCCUAUGUAAUAAUUUUUGGCUCAUAUAUAUAAGGGACACGCCACCAUACGGCGGAGGUGCAUUUUAAAAAAAAUAAAUUUGCGCGUCAGCAAAGGAUUUAGGGU